AGAGUUUGAUUCUGGCUCAGAACGAACGCUGGCAGCGUGGAUUAGGCAUGCAAGUCGAACGGGAAGCUUACACUUCAAUCCUUCGGGGAAGAAGAGUAAGUGGAUAGUGGCGCAAGGGUGAGGAACACGUGGGUAAUUUACCUUUAAGUUGGGGACAACCCUCCGAAAGGAGGGCUAAUACCGAAUGUGAUCUCCUGUCGCAUGGCAGGAAGAUUAAAGGCGGGGACCUUUCGAGGCCCGUCGCUUAAUGAGAAACCCGCGUCCCAUCAGCUUGUUGGUGAGGUAACGGCUCACCAAGGCUUACGGGUAGCUGGUCUGAGAGGAUGAUCAGCCACACUGGGACUGAGACACUACCCAGACUCCUACGGGAGGCUGCAGUCGAGGAUCAUUUGCAAUGCGCGAAAGCGUGACAAUGCGACGCUGCGUGAAGGAUGAAGGCCUUCGGGUCGUAAACUUUUGUCAUUCGGAAACAAAGGCAGGGAGGUUAAUACCCUUCCUGAUUGAGGGUACCGGAAGAGGAAGCCACGGCUAACUCUGUGCCAGCAGCCGCGGUAAUACAGAGGUGGCUAGCGUUGUUCGGAUUUACUGGGCGUAAAGAGUGCGUAGGUGGUUUAGUAUGUCGGAUGUGAAAGCCCAUGGCUCAACCGUGGAAGUGCAUCCGAAACUGCUAAGCUAGAGUGCAGGAUGGGAGAGCGGAAUUCUUGGUGUAGCGGUGAAAUGCGUUGAUAUCAAGAAGAACACCGGUGGCGAAGGCGGCUCUCUGGAAUGUUACUGACACUGAGGCACGAAAGUUGGGGUAGCGAACAGGAUUAGAUACCCUUGUAGUCCCAACCGUAAACGGUGUGAACUUGGUGUAGGGGGAAUUGACCCCCUCUGUGCCGGAGCUAACGCGUUAAGUUCACCGCCUGGGGAGUACGACCGCAAGGUUAAAACUCAAAGAAAUUGACGGGGGCCCGCACAAGCGGAGGAGCAUGUGGCUUAAUUCGAUGCAACGCGAAGAACCUUACCAGGGCUUGACAUGCAGCUGCAAGCCUCCCGAAAGGGAGGAAGCCUUCGAGGGUGCUGUGCAGGUGCUGCAUGGCUGUCGUCAGUUCGUGCCGUGAGGUGUUGGGUUAAGUCCCGCAACGAACGCAACCCUUAUGUUUAGUUGCCACUCCAACUUCGGUUGGAAGCACUCUAGACAGACUGCCCGUGCAAGCGGGAGGAAGGUGGGGAUGACGUCAAGUCAGUAUGGCCCCUACGCCCUGGGCUGCACACGUGCUACAAUGGCAGAUACAAAAGGACGCAAUACCGCGAGGUGGAGCAAACCCUCAAAAUCUGCCCCAGUUCGGAUUGGAGUCUGCAACUCGACUCCAUGAAGUUGGAUUCGCUAGUAACGGCGUAUCAGCAACGACGCCGUGAAUACGUUCCCGGGCCUUGUACACACCGCCCGUCACAUCAUGAAAGCCGUCUGCACUCGUAGUCGUUGAUCCAACCUGCAAAGGAGGAAGGCGCCGAAGGUGUGGGUGGUGAUCG
This 1515-nucleotide ribosomal RNA is filed under the name metagenome. RNAcentral's name for it is "bacterial SSU rRNA". It matches the Rfam family "Bacterial small subunit ribosomal RNA". The record is from RNAcentral.